Molecule: ribosomal RNA, 237 nt
Filed under: uncultured Staphylococcus sp.
Lineage: Bacteria; Bacillati; Bacillota; Bacilli; Caryophanales; Staphylococcaceae
Description: partial 16S ribosomal RNA
Rfam family: Bacterial small subunit ribosomal RNA
Source: RNAcentral
CGGGUGAGUAACACGUGGAUAACCUACCUAUAAGACUUGGAUAACUUCGGGAAACCGGAGCUAAUACCGGAUAAUAUAUUGAACCGCAUGGUUCAAUAGUGAAAGACGGUUUUGCUGUCACUUAUAGAUGGAUCCGCGCCGCAUUAGCUAGUUGGUAAGGUAACGGCUUACCAAGGCAACGAUGCGUAGCCGACCUGAGAUGGUGAUCGGCCACACUGGAACUGAGACACGGUCCAG